Molecule: ribosomal RNA, 518 nt
Filed under: uncultured bacterium
Lineage: Bacteria
Description: bacterial SSU rRNA
Rfam family: Bacterial small subunit ribosomal RNA
Source: RNAcentral
UAGAGUUUGAUCAUGGCUCAGAACGAACGCUGGCGGCAUGCCUAACACAUGCAAGUCGAACGGAGGUAGGGGCAACUCUACUUCAGUGGCGGACGGGUGAGGAAUGCGUCGGAAUCUACCCUAUGGUGGGGGAUAACACAGGGAAACUUGUGCUAAUACCGCAUGAUGUCGAGAGACCAAAGCAGAGGACCGCAAGGCCUUGCGCGAUAGGAUGAGCCGACGCCCGAUUAGCUAGUUGGUAGGGUAGAGGCCUACCAAGGCGACGAUCGGUAGCUGGUCUGAGAGGAUGAUCAGCCACACUGGGACUGAGACACGGCCCAGACUCCUACGGGAGGCAGCAGUGGGGAAUAUUGGACAAUGGGCGCAAGCCUGAUCCAGCAAUGCCGCGUGUGUGAAGAAGGCCUGCGGGUUGUAAAGCACUUUUGUUCGGGAAGAAAACGGAUCGGUUAAUACCCGGUUCGGAUGACGGUACCGAAAGAAUAAGCACCGGCUAACUUCGUGCCAGCAGCCGCGGUAAU